RNAcentral lists this ribosomal RNA (497 nucleotides) under uncultured bacterium. RNAcentral describes it as "partial 16S ribosomal RNA". It matches the Rfam family "Bacterial small subunit ribosomal RNA", at positions 28 to 507 of the family's 1533-position model. The record is from RNAcentral.
GAUGAACGCUGGCGGCGUGCCUAAUACAUGCAAGUCGAGCGAACAGACGAGGAGCUUGCUCCUCUGACGUUAGCGGCGGACGGGUGAGUAACACGUGGAUAACCUACCUAUAAGACUGGGAUAACUUCGGGAAACCGGAGCUAAUACCGGAUAAUAUAUUGAACCGCAUGGUUCAAUAGUGAAAGACGGUUUUGCUGUCACUUAUAGAUGGAUCCGCGCCGCAUUAGCUAGUUGGUAAGGUAACGGCUUACCAAGGCAACGAUGCGUAGCCGACCUGAGAGGGUGAUCGGCCACACUGGAACUGAGACGCGGUCCAGACUCCUACGGGAGGCAGCAGUAGGGAAUCUUCCGCAAUGGGCGAAAGCCUGACGGAGCAACGCCGCGUGAGUGAUGAAGGUCUUCGGAUCGUAAAACUCUGUUAUUAGGGAGGAACAAAUGUGUAAGUAACUAUGCACGUCUUGACGGUACCUAAUCAGAAAGCCACGGCUAACUACGUG